UCCUACGGGGCGCAGCAGUGAGGAAUAUUGGUCAAUGGGCUUACGCCUGAACCAGCCAAGUCGCGUGAGGGGAGACUGCCCUAUGGGUUGUAAACCUCUUUUGUCAGGGAGCAACGCCGGCUACGUGUAGCCGGACUGAGAGUACCUGAAGAAAAAGCAUCGGCUAACUCCGUGCCAGCAGCCGCGGUAAUACGGAGGAUGCGAGCGUUAUCCGGAUUUAUUGGGUUUAAAGGGUGCGUAGGCGGAAUGCCAAGUCAGCGGUAAAAUCGCGGGGCUCAACCCCAUCCAGCCGUUGAAACUGGGGA
Molecule: ribosomal RNA, 305 nt
Filed under: uncultured bacterium
Lineage: Bacteria
Description: bacterial SSU rRNA
Rfam family: Bacterial small subunit ribosomal RNA
Source: RNAcentral